UGAAGAAGAUUUCAUGACGAAAGACUCGAGCAUAAUUGCAUUGCAAGACAACAGUUUCGCCCGUUGUAAUCUUAGCAGUUGUGUCAGAGCUUGUGGCAACUGCUGUAAGGCCAGCGGGACAGUAAUGUUCACAAUAUAGACUGUCAACGUCAAUUUAGUUUAAUGACGGAGAUUUAAUUUGGAACGCACAGUUUUAUCUUAUUUUUUAUUUUUAUUUAUUAUUUUUGAAACGUAAUGUCUUACUGAUAAAGAAUGAAAUCUUCCUAGAUGACUAGUCGUACAUAUUGAAGACCUCUUUAGUAACCUGAAUCAU
Anastrepha obliqua is the source of this 313-nucleotide small nucleolar RNA. The record is from RefSeq and is a predicted model, not a curated record. Lineage: Eukaryota; Metazoa; Arthropoda; Insecta; Diptera; Tephritidae.